AUACGGGGGGUGCAAGCGUUAAUCGGAAUUACUGGGCGUAAAGCGCGCGUAGGCGGUUUGCUCAGUCGGAUGUGAAGGCCCAGGGCUCAACCUUGGAACUGCAUACGAUACUGGCAAACUAGAGUGUGAGAGAGGAUAGUGGAAUUUCCGGUGUAGCGGUGAAAUGCGUAGAUAUCGGAAGGAACAUCAGUGGCGAAGGCGACUGUCUGGCUCAACACUGACGCUGAGGUGCGAAAGCGUGGGUAGCAAACAGGAUUAGAAACCCCAGUAGUCC
RNAcentral lists this ribosomal RNA (274 nucleotides) under uncultured bacterium. RNAcentral's name for it is "partial 16S ribosomal RNA". It matches the Rfam family "Bacterial small subunit ribosomal RNA", at positions 523 to 796 of the family's 1533-position model. The record is from RNAcentral.